Molecule: long non-coding RNA, 446 nt
Organism: Daphnia pulex (common water flea)
Lineage: Eukaryota; Metazoa; Arthropoda; Branchiopoda; Diplostraca; Daphniidae
Exons: 3
Source: RefSeq, a predicted model, not a curated record
CAAAGUUAAAAUCGUCGCCAAAAAAUCCAUCCUUCAUCAGAAAUUCAGAAUGCUUUGCCUGUUCUAGUCAUCCACAUGUUGAGCAAUGUGAAGUAAGUCUACGGUUCCUGUUCCACGUGUUCACAAAUGGCGGCACCUUAAUACGUAUCCGGAAUGGCCACGCUUCCCUACACAUUUCAAAAUCAAAUGUGUGGCACCUACGGCCGUUAUCCAACCAAAUGACAUUGGUUAUCUAGGAUGAAUACUACUGGCAAGUUCUUUGUCAACUAGAUGUGUUCUUCCCUAUGCAAUGGUAAUAUUUCAAUUUACAUGAAUUUCUAUUUUAACAUUGUUUCAAAGUUGCCUAGUGAUAUUCAAAUGUUUUUAAAUGCUGAUAGUUACUAGUGAUUGUCUUGAAGAAUUGCUUGUCAGAAACUUUUCUGGAAAUAUAUUGAUAUUAAGAUAUA